Molecule: unclassified non-coding RNA, 219 nt
Filed under: rhizosphere metagenome
Description: partial ribosomal RNA internal transcribed spacer region
Source: RNAcentral
GUAGGUGAACCUGCGGAAGGAUCAUUAUUGAAAUAAACCUGACGGGUUGUUGCUGGUUCCCUAGGGAGCAUGUGCACACCUUGUCAUCUUUAUAUCUCCACCUGUGCACCUUUUGUAGGCCUUUCAGGUCUAUGUUGCUUCAUUUACCCCAAUGCAUGUUAAUAGAAUGUUGUGACUAUAAUAUCUAUACAACUUUCAGCAACGGAUCUCUUGGCUCUC